AGGUGCGAGGCGUGCCUGUAAUCCCCGCUACUCGGCAGGCUGAGGCAGGAGGAGCGCAUGAACCCAGGAGAUAGAGCCCACGCUAACUUCACCAUCAAUAUGGUGAUCUCCCAGGAGCGGGGGACUCCCAGGUUGCAAAAGGAGGGAUGAAUUGGUCCAGGGCAGAAACAAGCAGGUCAAAACUCUGGUGCUGAUCAGUAGUAGGAUUGUGCCUGUGAAGAGCCAAUGUACUCGGGCCUGGGCAACAUCAAUAAAGACUCCGUCUCCU
RNAcentral lists this signal recognition particle RNA (268 nucleotides) under Rhinolophus ferrumequinum (greater horseshoe bat). Its description in RNAcentral is "Metazoan signal recognition particle RNA (ENSRFEG00010008343.1)". It matches the Rfam family "Metazoan signal recognition particle RNA". Rfam says of the family: The signal recognition particle (SRP) is a universally conserved ribonucleoprotein. It is involved in the co-translational targeting of proteins to membranes. The eukaryotic SRP consists of a 300-nucleotide 7S RNA and six proteins: SRPs 72, 68, 54, 19, 14, and 9. The record is from Rfam by way of RNAcentral. Lineage: Eukaryota; Metazoa; Chordata; Mammalia; Chiroptera; Rhinolophidae.